This 464-nucleotide ribosomal RNA is filed under the name Lyncina vitellus. RNAcentral describes it as "partial 16S large subunit ribosomal RNA". It matches the Rfam family "Bacterial large subunit ribosomal RNA", at positions 1850 to 2577 of the family's 2925-position model. The record is from RNAcentral. Lineage: Eukaryota; Metazoa; Mollusca; Gastropoda; Littorinimorpha; Cypraeidae.
GAGUCGGACCUGCCCAGUGAGUAAUUUUCAACGGCCGCGGUACUCUGACCGUGCAAAGGUAGCAUAAUCAUUUGCCCUAUAAUUGAGGGCUAGUAUGAAUGGUUUGACGUGAACAAAGCUGUCUCUAUGUAAUUUUUUAGAACUUGAUCUUUAGGUGAAGAAACCUAAAUGACAUUGAAAGACAAGAAGACCCUAUUGAGCUUUAAAGAAAUAGGCUGAAAACAACAAUAUAAGUUUAAAUGUUAAUCUGCCUAAAAUUUUGGUUGGGGCGACUAUGGAACAAGCAAAGCUUCUUUACAACUGGAAGACUUUCAGGUUUUGAUCCAAGAAUUUUGAUUAAUGGAAUUAGUUACCAUAGGGAUAACAGCAUAAUUCUCUUUGAGAGUUCUUAUCGAAAAGAGAGUUUGUGACCUCGAUGUUGGACUAGAAUAUCCUAAAGAUGCAGCAGUCUUUAAGGGUUNGUC